CACGUAGGGGGCGAGCGUUGUCCGGAUUCAUUGGGCGUAAAGGGCGCGCAGGCGGCCCGGAAAGUCGGAUGUGAAAACUCGGGGCUCAACCCCGAGCGUGCACCCGAUACUGCCGGGCUUGAGGCAGGUAGGGGAGAUCGGAAUUCCUGGUGUAGCGGCGAAAUGCGCAGAUAUCAGGAGGAACACCGGUGGCGAAGGCGGAUCUCUGGGCCUGUCCUGACGCUGAGGCGCGAAGGCCAGGGGAGCAAACGGG
RNAcentral lists this ribosomal RNA (253 nucleotides) under uncultured bacterium. RNAcentral's name for it is "partial 16S ribosomal RNA". It matches the Rfam family "Bacterial small subunit ribosomal RNA", at positions 524 to 776 of the family's 1533-position model. The record is from RNAcentral.